Molecule: ribosomal RNA, 520 nt
Filed under: uncultured bacterium
Lineage: Bacteria
Description: bacterial SSU rRNA
Rfam family: Bacterial small subunit ribosomal RNA
Source: RNAcentral
GAUGAACGCUGGCGGCGUGCCUAAAACAUGCAAGUCGAGCGGUAAGGCUUUGCACUUAGUGUUUGAUCGAGAUAAUUUAUUAUCACAGUUAACUAAUCGGAACCUUGGCGGGGGAAGUGAGGAAGAGGAAGAUCGAAUUAUAAGUGUAGAGUACACGAGCGGCGGACGGGUGAGUAACACGUGGGAAUCUACCCCAAACUGAGGGAUAAGCACCGGAAACGGUGUCUAAUACCGCAUAUGGUCUUCGGAUUAAAGCUUCGGCGGUUUGGGAAGAGCCCGCGCAAGAUUAGCUAGUUGGUGAGGUAAAGGCUCACCAAGGCGACGAUCUUUAGCUGGUUGAGAGGAUGAUCAGCCACACUGGAACUGAGACACGGUCCAGACUCCUACGGGAGGCAGCAGUUAGGAAUUUUCCACAAUGGGCGCAAGCCUGAUGGAGCGAACGCCGCGUGCGAGGAUGGUAAGGUUUUCGGAUUAGUAAACUGUACUUUUAAUAAGUUAGAAGAAUAUAGGACGUUAACUU